Molecule: ribosomal RNA, 468 nt
Filed under: uncultured bacterium
Lineage: Bacteria
Description: partial 16S ribosomal RNA
Rfam family: Bacterial small subunit ribosomal RNA
Source: RNAcentral
GACGAACGCUGGCGGCGUGCUUAACACAUGCAAGUCGAACGGAAAGGCCCUGCUUUUGUGGGGUGCUCGAGUGGCGAACGGGUGAGUAACACGUGAGUAACCUGCCCUUGACUUUGGGAUAACUUCAGGAAACUGGGGCUAAUACCGGAUAGGAGCUCCUGCUGCAUGGUGGGGGUUGGAAAGUUUCGGCGGUUGGGGAUGGACUCGCGGCUUAUCAGCUUGUUGGUGGGGUAGUGGCUUACCAAGGCUUUGACGGGUAGCCGGCCUGAGAGGGUGACCGGCCACAUUGGGACUGAGAUACGGCCCAGACUCCUACGGGAGGCAGCAGUGGGGAAUAUUGCACAAUGGGCGGAAGCCUGAUGCAGCAACGCCGCGUGCGGGAUGACGGCCUUCGGGUUGUAAACCGCUUUCGCGUGUGACGAAGCGUGAGUGACGGUAAUGGGUAAAGAAGCACCGGCUAACUACGUG